RNAcentral lists this unclassified non-coding RNA (406 nucleotides) under soil metagenome. Its description in RNAcentral is "partial contains 5.8S ribosomal RNA, internal transcribed spacer 2, and large subunit ribosomal RNA". The stretch from base 1 to 121 matches the Rfam family "5.8S ribosomal RNA", at positions 35 to 154 of the family's 154-position model. The record is from RNAcentral.
GAUGAAGAACGCAGUGAAAUGCGAUAAGUAAUGUGAAUUGCAGAAUUCAGUGAAUCAUCGAAUCUUUGAACGCACCUUGCGCCCUUUGGCCAUUCCGAAGGGCAUGCCUGUUUGAGUAUCAUGAACACCUCAACUCUUCAUGGUUUUCCAUGAUGAGCUUGGACUUUGGGGGUCUUGCUGGCCUGUGGGUCGGCUCCUCUCAAAUGAAUCAGCUUGCCGGUUUUUGGUGGGCAUCACAGGUGUGAUAACUAUCUACGCUUGGGGUUUUCCACCAGGGUAACCUUCAGCAGUGGAGGUUCACUGGAGCUUACAAAUGUCUCUCCUCUGUGAGGACAGCCCUUUGAAUGUUUGAUCUCAAAUCAGGUAGGACUACCCGCUGAACUUAAGCAUAUCAAUAAGCGGAGGA